ACAUGCAAGUCGAACGAGAUCUUCGGAUCUAGUGGCGCACGGGUGCGUAACGCGUGGGAAUCUGCCCUUGGGUUCGGAAUAACUUCUGGAAACGGAAGCUAAUACCGGAUGAUGACGUAAGUCCAAAGAUUUAUCGCCCAAGGAUGAGCCCGCGUAGGAUUAGCUAGUUGGUGAGGUAAAGGCUCACCAAGGCGACGAUCCUUAGCUGGUCUGAGAGGAUGAUCAGCCACACUGGGACUGAGACACGGCCCAGACUCCUACGGGAGGCAGCAGUAGGGAAUAUUGGACAAUGGGGGAAACCCUGAUCCAGCAAUGCCGCGUGAGUGAUGAAGGCCUUAGGGUUGUAAAGCUCUUUUACCCGGGAUGAUAAUGACAGUACCGGGAGAAUAAGCUCCGGCUAACUCCGUGCCAGCAGCCGCGGUAAUACGGAGGGAGCUAGCGUUGUUCGGAAUUACUGGGCGUAAAGCGCACGUAGGCGGCUAUUCAAGUCAGAGGUGAAAGCCCGGGGCUCAAACCCGGAACUGCCUUUGAAACUAGAUA
RNAcentral lists this ribosomal RNA (540 nucleotides) under uncultured Alphaproteobacteria bacterium. RNAcentral describes it as "bacterial SSU rRNA". It matches the Rfam family "Bacterial small subunit ribosomal RNA", at positions 53 to 639 of the family's 1533-position model. Lineage: Bacteria; Pseudomonadati; Pseudomonadota; Alphaproteobacteria. The record is from RNAcentral.